GAUGAAGAACGCAGCGAAAUGCGAUAAGUAAUGUGAAUUGCAGAAUUCAGUGAGUCAUCGAAUCUUUGAACGCACAUUGCGCCCCUUGGUAUUCCGAGGGGCAUGCCCGUUCGAGCGUCAUUAUACCCCUCAAGCCUAGCUUGGUGUUGGGGCCUGCUGUUACCGGCAGCCCUUAAAAUCAGUGGCGGUGCCAUCUGGCUCUAAGCGUAGUAAUACUUCUCGCUACAGGGUCCCGGUGGAUGCUUGCCAUCAACCCCUAAUUUUCUAUGGUUGACCUCGGAUCGGGUAGGGAUACCCGCUGAACUUAAGCAUAUCAAUAAGCGGAGGA
RNAcentral lists this unclassified non-coding RNA (328 nucleotides) under soil metagenome. RNAcentral describes it as "partial contains 5.8S ribosomal RNA, internal transcribed spacer 2, and large subunit ribosomal RNA". The stretch from base 1 to 120 matches the Rfam family "5.8S ribosomal RNA", at positions 35 to 154 of the family's 154-position model. The record is from RNAcentral.